RNAcentral lists this ribosomal RNA (301 nucleotides) under uncultured bacterium. Its description in RNAcentral is "partial 16S ribosomal RNA". It matches the Rfam family "Bacterial small subunit ribosomal RNA", at positions 509 to 807 of the family's 1533-position model. The record is from RNAcentral.
CAGUCGCCGCGGGAAUACGAAGGGGGCUAGCGUUGUUCGGAAUUACUGGGCGUAAAGCGCACGUAGGCGGAUACUUAAGUUAGGGGCGAAAUCCCAGGGCUCAACCCUGGAACUGCCUUUAAUACUGGGUAUCUUGAGUUCGAGAGAGGUAAGUGGAAUUCCGAGUGUAGAGGUGAAAUUCGUAGAUAUUCGGAGGAACACCAGUGGCGAAGGCGGCUUACUGGCUCGAUACUGACGCUGAGGUGCGAAAGCGUGGGGAGCAAACAGGAUUAGAGACCCGCGUAGUCCCUGUCUCUUAUAC